CCAUAUGUUGCACAGACGCUUCGUGACGUCACGUGAAGCACCAAGAAAAAACUAAUUUCCCAGUUGUUUCUCGCACAUUACGACUGACACGUAUUCCUCAUUUCUCGUGCAAAGCAUCGAUAGAGAAAGGUGAUCACAAUUAUUUGCCUGCAACUACGCCGUGUCCUACAGGAGUGUACCGUGACGCAACUCCUGGAAAGGGUCGGGCUGCGACGAUGUCUCCUUGGUUUCCCGACAUGAGCUACCUCCGCCACAAGCCGUGUCGCGGAACGUCGUUCCGGUGGUCCCUGUUCCCGUUUCUCGCAGUGGUGACCUUGCUCACGAUGAUGCUUCCUCGUGCGACCGCCAUGGAGAACGGAUGCAACCACUACUCGUGUACUGCGAUGUGCGUCGGCAAAGGGUUCGACGAUGGGAAAUGCAGCCGCGCGCAUGACUACCGAGACAUGUGCCGCUGCGGGUACAUCCUUGGAAGAGCGCCGAAGGAGCCUCCUGCCGAGGUGGAGUAGCAUAAACGUACGGACGUGAUCGAGGGAAAGAGAUGACGGGCUCACACUGAGUCGCAUCCACGUACGAGUAAAAAGAAAUAAACUUCGAACGGAUGGAAAA
Long non-coding RNA from Rhipicephalus microplus (southern cattle tick), 606 nucleotides. RefSeq lists it as uncharacterized. The record is from RefSeq and is a predicted model, not a curated record. Lineage: Eukaryota; Metazoa; Arthropoda; Arachnida; Ixodida; Ixodidae.